Molecule: ribosomal RNA, 460 nt
Filed under: uncultured bacterium
Lineage: Bacteria
Description: partial 16S ribosomal RNA
Rfam family: Bacterial small subunit ribosomal RNA
Source: RNAcentral
CCUACGGGAGGCAGCAGUGAGGAAUAUUGGUCAAUGGACGGAAGUCUGAACCAGCCAUGCCGCGUGCAGGAAGACGGCUCUAUGAGUUGUAAACUGCUUUUGUACAAGGGUAAACCUGAAUACGUGUAUUCAGCUGAAAGUACUGUACGAAUAAGGAUCGGCUAACUCGGUGCAAGCAGCCGCGGAAAUACGGAGGUGGCAACCGUUGUACGGAAUUACUGGGGGGAAAGGGAUCGUAGGCGGGAAGCCAAGUCAGCUGUGAAAACUACGGGCUUAACCUGUAGACGGCAGUUGAAACUGGCUUUAGUGAGUGAAGUAGAGGGUGGCGGCAGUCCGAGGGUAGCGGUGAAAUGCGUAGAUAUUCGGAGGAACACCGGUGGCGAAGGCGGCCAACUGGGCUUUAACUGACGCUGAGGCUCGAAAGUGUGGGGAGCAAACAGGAUUAGAUACCCGAGUAGUC